Molecule: transfer RNA, 74 nt
Filed under: Candidatus Vogelbacteria bacterium CG10_big_fil_rev_8_21_14_0_10_51_16
Lineage: Bacteria; Candidatus Vogeliibacteriota
Description: tRNA-His
Rfam family: tRNA
About the family: Transfer RNA (tRNA) molecules are approximately 80 nucleotides in length. Their secondary structure includes four short double-helical elements and three loops (D, anti-codon, and T loops).
Source: RNAcentral
GUGCCUAUAGUGUAACGGUUUGCACGGCUCCCUGUGGAGGAGUAAGCCUGAGUUCAACUCUCAGUAGGCACCCA